This is a long non-coding RNA of Bactrocera tryoni, 689 nucleotides long. RefSeq lists it as uncharacterized. The record is from RefSeq and is a predicted model, not a curated record. Lineage: Eukaryota; Metazoa; Arthropoda; Insecta; Diptera; Tephritidae. The transcript is spliced from 3 exons.
CUUAAGUAGAGCCAAGGUUCUGAACUUUGCCGAAAACUAUAUUCAGUGACGCAUAAAAUAGUAAAAAAAAUUAUAUAAAUCGGAUGGAUUCAAAUACUACUGGCAUGGUAAAGGAGUUGAUAAAGAAGUUGCAAAGGGCAGAGAGUUGUCAGACGGAGAAGUUAUGGUGUGGGCAGGUUUUUGCUUUAAUGAGAUCAAUGCUGAAGUUAGACAUAUAGAAAGCCUUCUUGUAGGUUAACAGUUUCUGCGCGACCAGUUGAAAGCAAUUUGAUGAAUGCAAAAUUAUUGGAGACAAAUUAAACUCAGAACGACAUACAUGAAUGAAAAUUGAGUGUUUUAGCAAGGACUAAAAAUUUUCAUCGAUCGUGCUUGUCACAGGGCAGGAUUUCAGGACUACCGGUGCCUAGAAGCAGAAUUAGCCAAGAAAUUGGAGUUCUAGACUAUUAUCGACGCAUUCGAACUUCUAAGUAAUAAUAAUAAUUGAAUAUUGCAGACUGCAUGCUCAAAACCGUAUUGUCGAUAGGCGACGGAUUUUAAAAGAGCUUAUAAUUUGCUAUUAAUUUGAUCGAUAAAUAAAUGUCUGAAUAAUUCAUAUAUUCCGGGAUAAUCUAUAUAAAAUAUGUUUAAUUGAGAGUACAUGUAUAAAUUGAUUUAUAUAGUAUUGAUUUUCAAAACCAUAAGAAGCAAAU